Molecule: long non-coding RNA, 254 nt
Filed under: Apteryx owenii (little spotted kiwi)
Lineage: Eukaryota; Metazoa; Chordata; Aves; Apterygiformes; Apterygidae
Description: lncRNA (ENSAOWG00000001083.1)
Source: RNAcentral
GCAGGCCCUGACAGCUCCAACCACUUCAUUGUUAAAUGGCAAUAUCAGAAAAAGAGAAGAGCUGGUGUAUCACAAGGAGAGAUAUUUUGGGUGAUUGGAUUGGCAUCAUGCGUCUUAACACAGUGGAUCUACUUCAUAGCUCUGUAACAUCUCUCAUGACAUUCUGCGUCUUGGAAGAAUACAGCAAAUGCUUAUAUGACUGGGAUUCAAAGAAUUUGGUGUGCUGGCUGAAUCAUCAGUUUCUCCCACAGUGA